UCGAGUCUUUCGCUUCGGUAAUU
This 23-nucleotide microRNA is filed under the name Parasteatoda tepidariorum (common house spider). RNAcentral describes it as "pte-miR-35j-5p". Its record names the gene pte-miR-35j-5p. The record is from miRBase by way of RNAcentral. Lineage: Eukaryota; Metazoa; Arthropoda; Arachnida; Araneae; Theridiidae.